AUGAACGCUGGCGGCGUGCCUAAUACCUGCCAGUCGCGCGAACAGACGAGGAGCUUGCUCCUCUGACGUUAGCGGCGGACGGGUGAGUAACACGUGGAUAACCUACCUAUAAGACUGGGAUAACUUCGGGAAACCGGAGCUAAUACCGGAUAAUAUAUUGAACCGCAUGGUUCAAUAGUGAAAGACGGUUUUGCUGUCACUUAUAGAUGGAUCCGCGCCGCAUUAGCUAGUUGGUAAGGUAACGGCUUACCAAGGCAACGAUGCGUAGCCGACCUGAGAGGGUGAUCGGCCACACUGGAACUGAGACACGGUCCAGACUCCUACGGGAGGCAGCAGUAGGGAAUCUUCCGCAAUGGGCGAAAGCUUGACGGAGCAACGCCGCGUGAGUGAUGAAGGUCUUCGGAUCGUAAAACUCUGUUAUUAGGGAAGAACAAAUGUGUAAGUAACUAUGCACGUCUUGACGGUACCUAAUCAGAAAGCCACGGCUAACUACGUG
Molecule: ribosomal RNA, 496 nt
Filed under: uncultured bacterium
Lineage: Bacteria
Description: partial 16S ribosomal RNA
Rfam family: Bacterial small subunit ribosomal RNA
Source: RNAcentral